ACUUCUUGGUCAUUUAGAGGAAGUAAAAGUCGUAACAAGGUCUCCGUUGGUGAACCAGCGGAGGGAUCAUUAUCGAGUUAUUCAACUCCCAAACCCUAUGUGAACUUACCACUUGUUGCUUCGGCGCGCGCUUCGGCGCCGCCGAGGACACUUAAACUCUUUGUUUUUAUAAGCAUUUCUGAGUGGCCGAAAGGCAAAAAUACAAAUGAAUCAAAACUUUCAACAACGGAUCUCUUGGUUCUGGCAUCGAUGAAGAACGCAGCGAAAUGCGAUAAGUAAUGUGAAUUGCAGAAUUCAGUGAAUCAUCGAAUCUUUGAACGCACAUUGCGCCCGCCAGCAUUCUGGCGGGCAUGCCUGUUCGAGCGUCAUUUCAACCCUCGAGCCCGACUCUUUUGAGGACGGCUCGGCGUUGGGGGACGGCAGACUCCCCCCGGCAUCUCGCCGGGGACGCCGCCCCCGAAAUCUAGUGGCGGCCCUCCGAGGCGACCUCUGCGUAGUAACUUGUUCUCGCACCGGAAAGCUCAGAGCGGCCACGCCGUAAAACCCCAACUUUUUUCAGGUUGACCUCGAAUCAGGUAGGACU
This 583-nucleotide ribosomal RNA is filed under the name uncultured fungus. Its description in RNAcentral is "eukaryotic LSU rRNA". The stretch from base 215 to 368 matches the Rfam family "5.8S ribosomal RNA". Lineage: Eukaryota; Fungi. The record is from RNAcentral.